This 253-nucleotide ribosomal RNA is filed under the name uncultured bacterium. RNAcentral's name for it is "partial 16S ribosomal RNA". It matches the Rfam family "Bacterial small subunit ribosomal RNA", at positions 524 to 776 of the family's 1533-position model. The record is from RNAcentral.
GACGUAGGGCGCGAGCGUUGUCCGGAUUUAUUGGGCGUAAAGAGCUCGUAGGCGGCUUGUCGCGUCGUCUGUGAAAACCCGCGGCUCAACGGCGGGCUUGCAGUCGAUACGGGCAGGCUGGAGUUCGGUAGGGGAGACUGGAAUUCCUGGUGUAGCGGUGAAAUGCGCAGAUAUCAGGAAGAACACCCGUGGCUAAGGCGGUUCUCUAGUACGGUACUGACGCUGAGACGCGAAAGCGUGGGGAGCGAACAGG